CAAUACGGCUCAAGGUGCCAGAGGCCCUUAUAAACCCAACAAAAAAAAAAUAACUUUCUCAAGUGAUAAUUAAUAACAUCCAACAUAUUGUAAGUGUUGGAGACAUCAUCAGUGGCAGGAGGAACCUUACAACAUAAUAAACUCGUAAAAUAAAACCUGAUAAACCUACAAAACUCAAGAGAUGAUGAUGAUGCAGAGCAGCCAGUGGCUAGCCUGCCAGGGGUCAACAGAUACGGAGUCAACAAACUUGAGGCUGCUCUUAAGCCACUUAUACUGAAUGGUCUUUCCUCUGUCUUAUUAUUUGGUGUUCCCUCAAAUAUGCCGAAGGAUGAACGUGGCUCUAGUGCCGAUGCAGCCAACACACCAGUCAUUGUAGCAGUGAAGCUCCUACGGCAAGCAUUCCCUGAUCUCCUUGUGGCAUGUGAUGUAAGUUGUCCUGGGUUUUUG
Non-coding RNA from Cherax quadricarinatus, 447 nucleotides. The record is from RefSeq and is a predicted model, not a curated record. NCBI's taxonomy places the organism in Eukaryota, Metazoa, Arthropoda, Malacostraca, Decapoda, Parastacidae.